GAAACUGGUGCUAAUACCGGAUACCCUUCUUUACUGCCGGGUAAAGGAGGAAAGGUGGCCUCUUCAUGAAAGCUACCGUAUAGGGAUGAGCCUGCGUACCAUUAGCUAGUAGGUGGGGUAACGGCCCACCUAGGCAACGAUGGUUAGCGGGUCUGAGAGGAUGAUCCGCCACACUGGAACUGGAACACGGACCAGACUCCUACGGGAGGCAGCAGUGAGGAAUAUUGCGCAAUGGGGGAAACCCUGACGCAGCGACGCCGCGUGAGUGAGGAAGGUCUUCGGAUCGUAAAGCUCUGUCAGAAGGGAAGAAGUGUUAUAUGGUUAAUAUCCAUAUAAUUUGACGGUACCUUCAGAGGAAGCACCGGCUAACUCCGUGCCAGCAGCCGCGGUAAUACGGAGGGUGCAAGCGUUGUUCGGAAUUACUGAGCGUAAAGGGCGCGUAGGCGGCCUGAUAAGUCAGAUGUGAAAGCCCACGGCUUAACCGUGGAAGUGCAUUUGAAACUGUCUGGCUUGAGUAUCGGAAGGGGAGUGUGGAAUUUCCCGG
This 544-nucleotide ribosomal RNA is filed under the name uncultured bacterium. RNAcentral describes it as "bacterial SSU rRNA". It matches the Rfam family "Bacterial small subunit ribosomal RNA", at positions 153 to 674 of the family's 1533-position model. The record is from RNAcentral.